RNAcentral lists this non-coding RNA (21 nucleotides) under Arabidopsis thaliana (thale cress). Lineage: Eukaryota; Viridiplantae; Streptophyta; Magnoliopsida; Brassicales; Brassicaceae. The record is from RNAcentral.
AGGACUAUGAAUACGUGAUGA